UGGGUAACCUGCCUCAAGUAGAGGGGAAUAAGCCUUCCCGAAAGGAAGAGUUAAUACCGCAUAAGGAUUGUAAUAUCGCAUGAUAUAGCAAUUAAAGGAGUAAUCCGCUAGUGAGAUGGACCCGCGUCGCAUUAGCUAGUUGGUGAGGUAACGGCUCACCAAGGCGACGAUGCGUAGCCGACCUGAGAGGGUGAUCGGCCACAUUGGGACUGAGACACGGCCCAGACUCCUACGGGAGGCAGCAGUGGGGAAUAUUGCACAAUGGGGGAAACCCUGAUGCAGCAACGCCGCGUGAGUGAUGACGGUCUUCGGAUUGUAAAGCUCUGUCUUCAGGGACGAUAAUGACGGUACCUGAGGAGGAAGCCACGGCUAACUACGUGCCAGCAGCCGC
Molecule: ribosomal RNA, 391 nt
Filed under: uncultured bacterium
Lineage: Bacteria
Description: bacterial SSU rRNA
Rfam family: Bacterial small subunit ribosomal RNA
Source: RNAcentral